Long non-coding RNA from Octopus sinensis (East Asian common octopus), 190 nucleotides. RefSeq lists it as uncharacterized. NCBI's taxonomy places the organism in Eukaryota, Metazoa, Mollusca, Cephalopoda, Octopoda, Octopodidae. The transcript is spliced from 2 exons. The record is from RefSeq and is a predicted model, not a curated record.
CUUUUGUUUUCAAUACUUUCCAGCAAUGUAGAAAAAGGACAAGCUUUGAAACUGGUCCGCAAACUGGAAGAAAUCAUGAAGCUUCCUUCUGGAACGUUCUCUGGUAUCAGACUUAAGAACGGUCAAGUCACCUUCCGUAUUAGUCCGGAUGUUGAUGGUAUCACUGCUUCCACCGUCGCCAAGGAAGUCG